This 968-nucleotide ribosomal RNA is filed under the name Smaragdinella calyculata. Its description in RNAcentral is "large subunit ribosomal RNA". It matches the Rfam family "Bacterial large subunit ribosomal RNA", at positions 599 to 2709 of the family's 2925-position model. Lineage: Eukaryota; Metazoa; Mollusca; Gastropoda; Cephalaspidea; Smaragdinellidae. The record is from RNAcentral.
ACGUUCAUAUAACUUAUAUGGUAUUCUAACUAAGAAAUGAAAACUAGAAUAAAGUAUAAAGACUAGUAAGUUGUACUUUUUGAAUAACGGUUUCCUGAACCUUUACGUAUUUUGAGCCCGAAAUAGUAAGAUCUAUGAAUUUACGAAGCUAAUGUAGCAAAAUCAGCUUAGAAUUGAUUCAUAGGAGCGAAAAACUUUCAAUUACUAUAAUAUCUGGAUUUCCCCUAAAAGUAUUUAGUGCAUAAAGGUGAAUCAACAAGUGAUUAGAUUUGUUGGAAAGAAUAUAAUAAAUAGUAAAGAUUUAUGGAUUAAUCUCCACGUAACUUUAGAUCAAAAUAUUAAUUUGUUAGCAUUUCUUUACUAGGGGAAUAGAAUAACUUAUUUGAAUUUAUUGGAAAAUUAGUAAAAUUGCAAAAAGAAGUUAAGGAACUCGGCAAAUCUAGAUUUCGACUGUUUACCAAAAACAUAGCCCUAAGAAUUUAUUUAGGGUAAUACCUGCCCAAUGAGAAAUUUAAUGGCCGCGGUACUUUGACCGUGCUAAGGUAGCAUAAUCAGUUGACUUUUAAAUGAAGUCUGGAAUGAAAGGGGGAACGGAAUUUAGCUGUCUUAACUUUUUUAAUUUGAAUUUACUAACUAAGUGAAAAGGCUUAGAAAAGAUAAAAGACGAGAAGACCCUAAGAGUUUUGAGAAUAUUUUUGUUGGGGCGACAUAGGGUCAAUUUAACACCCUAAAGAUAUGGGACGGAUUUAUCAUGCUAAGAUAAACUACCUUAGGGAUAACAGCAUAAUUCUUUUGAGUUUGUGACCUCGAUGUUGGACUAGGAAGCCUUUAGGCUAGCUGCCUAAAAGGGUGAUUCUGUUCGAAUUUUUACUCCUACAUGAUCUGAGUUCAGACCGGCGCAAGCCAGGUCAGUUUCUAUCUUUUAUAAAUAAGGCCCUAGUACGAAAGGACCGGGUCUUAGUUUGAUG